Molecule: ribosomal RNA, 343 nt
Filed under: uncultured Pelotomaculum sp.
Lineage: Bacteria; Bacillati; Bacillota; Clostridia; Eubacteriales; Desulfotomaculaceae
Description: bacterial SSU rRNA
Rfam family: Bacterial small subunit ribosomal RNA
Source: RNAcentral
GGUGCAUGGUUGUCGUCAGCUCGUGUCGUGAGAUGUUGGGUUAAGUCCCGCAACGAGCGCAACCCCUACGUUUAGUUGCUAACGCGUGAAGGCGAGCACUCUAGACGAACUGCCGUUGACAAAACGGAGGAAGGUGGGGAUGACGUCAAAUCAUCAUGCCCCUUAUGUUCUGGGCUACACACGUGCUACAAUGGCCGGUACAGACGGACGCAAAGCCGCGAGGUGGAGCAAAUCCUAAAAAGCCGGUCUCAGUUCGGAUUGCAGGCUGCAAUUCGCCUGCAUGAAGUCGGAAUCGCUAGUAAUCGCAGGUCAGCAUACUGCGGUGAAUACGUUCCCGGGCCUU